AAUAAAUGUAGAGAUUAGAACAGUCACUUGAUCACAAUAACCGGGUUGACAACUAAGGUGCAAUGCACCCAGAUGUAACUGAGCCUAUGGAGGGCGUGCAAGACGGGUGUCUUGCAGAUGACCCUUAGAUGGGAGCAGGGGUAGCCACCAAAAUACUCAACGUGGUGCGCUGAGGGAAGCUGAGCCGGUUACCAGGUGGAGGAGAGGUCCAGCCACCCAUGGAGGCCACCCCGCCAGAGGCUUCCAGGCGCUUUUAAGUGAUCUGAGCGUCCCCGCCCGUCCGAACUCGCAGGGAUGUUUCUGGAGCUCCAAGUCUGCCUCUCCACGUCGUCACCUGCCUUAAGGCCGCCCAGCUCGCUGACGCCUGGUUGGGAAAGAAGAUGGAUGCCCCUGGCGUGUGCUCGGCUUCUCAUUCCACACUUAGACCCAAGCAAAAGGAUUUGUGAUAGACCCGCGUGAACAAAGAUGAAGCUCUUUCCUGCCAAACUAAGAGAACCGGGAAGAGUCAACCCUAAGGAGGAUUUCCCUCCCUCCUCACUCCUCAGCGGCAUCUUCCCUCCAGAGCUGUUGCCUGGCUGUUGCUCCUCCCCAAUCUGGCCUGAAAUUUCAAGGGCUAAUGGUGUGUGUUCCUGCCAUAAUUAGGAGGCCAUGCAGCAAUCCAACACCCGUUAAGACAAACAUGUAAGUCAUCCUUGUGGGGAAAGACUGAGGGAGGGAGGCAGCUGGGACCCCUGCUGGAAGAAUCUUCAGCCAGGGGAGGGGCAUUUCCGUGACCCUCUGCUGCUUCUGGCCUUGGUCUUCUUCGGUUUUCCUUAAAAAGAAGAAAUGUGGGCAAAGAACAAGCAUCCCGCCACCCACUGGACAAGCUGAGGAACCUGUGUCUUGGCUUGAAAAGUUGUCUAAGUCACUGGGGGCUCUGAGCUGAGAAGAGCAAGGAUCUGGGUCCCUUACCCGGCACAGCAGUACCAGGUCUAUAAAGGAUGCAGAACCUCUUUUUCCACCCCUGUAAAUCAGCCUUUCACAUUGUUUAAGGUACGUUGAUCAAUCUAAUGGCUUGUAAUAGGUUUCCAAUUGUCAUUUGCAGAAGCCUGCAGGCUCACACUUGAGUAGGGUGAGUUCUCAGUCCUCCUUAAGCCCCAGGCUGGUCAUUGCAAAAUCCAGAAAGAGCACCCAAUCUUGGUGCCCAGGAGAGGGAGUGUUGCUAGGGAUGUCCACCGGCUAAAUUGGCCUUCCACACAACAUUUCCAGGGUAAGCAAUGUCAACCAAAACACAUUUUGUCACUACCAGGAACCUUCUGCAUUGACAUCCCUUACUGUUAUGGUUACAGUAAAAACUUGACUAGUCACAAACCAAGAUGCUCUUGGUCAUAUCUUUUUCUUAUUUUGAACGGUAGUGAUAAGGAAUGAUUUGAAGGGGAUUGUUGAAGGGAGGAAAGGGGAACUUUCCCA
Long non-coding RNA from Microtus ochrogaster (prairie vole), 1449 nucleotides. RefSeq lists it as uncharacterized. The transcript has 3 exons. The record is from RefSeq and is a predicted model, not a curated record. Lineage: Eukaryota; Metazoa; Chordata; Mammalia; Rodentia; Cricetidae.